GAUUAAACUCUUUCGCUGUAACUGUACUGCGCCCAUUGGAUCUGUACUCAAUUCAAUGAAGUCGUUCAGACCCGGAAGGGGACGGAUUUCGGGAUCGACACCGACUAUUCUUGGCGAGCAGGAAAAGAACGGCGUCACCAUCGGAAGAGGGCGGGCGAAUAAACUGGGAUAUGUUCUUUCCUCUGCCUGCACCUAGGUCGCCAGCGUUUACUGUAAUGGUUAUACAUUUGCAUGAUUAAGUUAGAUGAACAUUUAUUUGUAGCACUGUAUUUGUAAACAUUUGAAGUGUGCGUUAACCGGCUUUGGGACAAAGGAUAAGAAUUUUAGGUGACUGCAGUGGUCGAUAUUUGUAAAGCAACACAAAAUCUUAGGAGAGAGAAAAAAACAGGACAUAAGUAACAGUAUAUUACAUACAGAUGCAGACUUUGAGGCCUGCGUGUGCGCGUAGCGUGCUGGUUUUCAAUGCUUAAUUUACGACAUUGACUAGAGUCCACACACAUACCAGGAAAACCUGUUGGUACGAGUGGCCUCCAGAUGUGGAGGUGUGCAGCCCCUGAUAUAGCAUGCCAAUUAAUAUGCUUGUUUACGUCUCAAAUUUUACAAAAUUUAUUUUUAUUAAAACUUACACUUUAAUUGACA
Molecule: long non-coding RNA, 639 nt
Organism: Anguilla rostrata (American eel)
Lineage: Eukaryota; Metazoa; Chordata; Actinopteri; Anguilliformes; Anguillidae
Exons: 2
Source: RefSeq, a predicted model, not a curated record